GGGGUUGUGGCUCAGAGGUAGAGCACUUGCCUAGCAUGUAUGAGGCACUGGGUUUGAUCCUCAGCACCACA
Molecule: transfer RNA, 71 nt
Filed under: Marmota monax (woodchuck)
Lineage: Eukaryota; Metazoa; Chordata; Mammalia; Rodentia; Sciuridae
Description: tRNA.Ala
Rfam family: tRNA
About the family: Transfer RNA (tRNA) molecules are approximately 80 nucleotides in length. Their secondary structure includes four short double-helical elements and three loops (D, anti-codon, and T loops). Further hydrogen bonds mediate the characteristic L-shaped molecular structure. tRNAs have two regions of fundamental functional importance: the anti-codon, which is responsible for specific mRNA codon recognition, and the 3' end, to which the tRNAs corresponding amino acid is attached (by aminoacyl-tRNA synthetases). tRNAs cope with the degeneracy of the genetic code in two manners: having more than one tRNA (with a specific anti-codon) for a particular amino acid; and 'wobble' base-pairing, i.e. permitting non-standard base-pairing at the 3rd anti-codon position.
Source: RNAcentral